AUUGAACGCUGGCGGAAUGCUUUACACAUGCAAGUCGAACGGUAGAGGGGCAACCCCUUGAGAGUGGCGAACGGGUGAGUAAUAUAUCGGAACGUGCCCAGUCGUGGGGAUAACGUAGCGAAAGUUACGCUAAUACCGCAUACGAUCUAAGGAUGAAAGCGGGGGAUCGCAAGACCUCGCGCGAUUGGAGCGGCCGAUAUCAGAUUUAGGUAGUUGGUGGGGUAAAGGCUCACCAAGCCAACGAUCUGUAGCUGGUCUGAGAGGACGACCAGCCACACUGGAACUGAGACACGGUCCAGACUCCUACGGAGGCAGCAGUGGGAAUUUUGGACAAUGGACGCAAGUCUGAUCCAGCCAUUCCGCGUGCAGGAUGAAGGCCCUCGGGUUGUAAACUGGCUUUUGUACGGAACGAAAAGGUCUCUCUUAAUACGGGGGGCUCAUGACGGUACCGUAAGAUAAGCACCGGCUAACUAACGUGCCAGCAGCCGCGG
RNAcentral lists this ribosomal RNA (491 nucleotides) under uncultured bacterium. RNAcentral describes it as "bacterial SSU rRNA". It matches the Rfam family "Bacterial small subunit ribosomal RNA", at positions 30 to 520 of the family's 1533-position model. The record is from RNAcentral.